UUUGGCCUGCACACGAAAAUGCAA
Molecule: non-coding RNA, 24 nt
Filed under: Arabidopsis thaliana (thale cress)
Lineage: Eukaryota; Viridiplantae; Streptophyta; Magnoliopsida; Brassicales; Brassicaceae
Source: RNAcentral